CAGACAUGACUGAGCACUUUCACACACAGCACAGCUGGCUGACUUCUUAAAUCUCUUCUCACUCUUAGAUAAGGAGGAAGAAGCUAUUUGGCAGUCAAAGAUGGACAUUUCUCCUAAAGAGGAUAUUGGAAAAGGAAGAACUCCUCAGAAGGUGGAGCUGUGUUCCCUCCCUGCAAUUUACCUGGGGCCAAACUAUGGUGGAGGUAAUGAACAUAAUGGUGACCUCCUUCAAAAGAUCCCAUGCAUGUACUGCUACACUCAGUGCCCCCAACUCUGCAGCAGGCCACCACCAACCCGCGCCUCUGCUGGAGACUCCUGGACACUCACGGGCAAAUCUGGUCCGGCGAAGCGCAGCCGCAGCUCCUGACCUUGGACGUGGGGUAUCUCCUCUCCGCAGCUCACCGCUCCAGCAAGUGGGCAUUUAGCCAGCUCAUGAAGCACCCACUUAUUGAGCUUUUUCACCUUUCCAACUUACUUCCAAUGCCAAGUAACUAUAGAAUGAUCAACGUUGAGUUCUUUGGUAACUUCUUGUGUAGUUGGAAGAAGAUCAGCUCAGUGAUGGCUCUCAGUUGGUCAUUGUCAACUUCUGACGGCUGGACACUACACUCCUCAACUUCAAGGCUCUCAUCUCCUUUGCAAAACUUCUUGAACCACCACUACACUGUAUGUUCAUUAGCAAUUCCUAGACCAAAU
Long non-coding RNA from Bos taurus (domestic cattle), 693 nucleotides. The record is from Ensembl. Lineage: Eukaryota; Metazoa; Chordata; Mammalia; Artiodactyla; Bovidae.